This 465-nucleotide ribosomal RNA is filed under the name uncultured Klebsiella sp. Its description in RNAcentral is "bacterial SSU rRNA". It matches the Rfam family "Bacterial small subunit ribosomal RNA", at positions 338 to 795 of the family's 1533-position model. The record is from RNAcentral. Lineage: Bacteria; Pseudomonadati; Pseudomonadota; Gammaproteobacteria; Enterobacterales; Enterobacteriaceae.
CCUACGGGAGGCUGCAGUGGGGAAUAUUGCACAAUGGGCGCAAGCCUGAUGCAGCCAUGCCGCGUGUGUGAAGAAGGCCUUCGGGUUGUAAAGCACUUUCAGCGGGGAGGAAGGCGGUGAGGUUAAUAACCUCAUCGAUUGACGUUACCCGCAGAAGAAGCACCGGCUAACUCCGUGCCAGCAGCCGCGGUAAUACGGAGGGUGCAAGCGUUAAUCGGAAUUACUGGGCGUAAGGCGCACGCAGGCGGUCUGUCAAGUCGGAUGUGAAAUCCCCGGGCUCAACCUGGGAACUGCAUUCGAAACUGGCAGGCUAGAGUCUUGUAGAGGGGGGUAGAAUUCCAGGUGUAGCGGUGAAAUGCGUAGAGAUCUGGAGGAAUACCGGUGGCGAAGGCGGCCCCCUGGACAAAGACUGACGCUCAGGUGCGAAAGCGUGGGGAGCAAACAGGAUUAGAUACCCUAGUAGUC